CUGACCGUGCAAAGGUAGCAUAAUCAUUUGCCUUAUAAUUGAAGGCUAGUAUGAAUGGUUUGACAUGAAUGUAGCUGUCUCUUUAUAAUUUAAUAGAAUUUUAUCUUAGGUGAAGAAGCCUGAAUUCAAUUAAAAGACAAGAAGACCCUAUCGAGCUUGAAAAAAAUUGAUGGAAUUAAAGUCAAUAUAGUUAAAAGAUUAUCUAUCACAUAUUUUAGUUGGGGCGACUAAGGAACAUAAAAAGCUUCCUUUAAAAUAUUAGUUUAAGUCAAACUAGAAUUGAUCCAAAAUAUUUUGAUUAAAGGAAUUAGUUACCGUAGGGAUAACAGCAUUAUCUUUUUUAAGAGCUCAUAUCGAAAAAAAGGUUUGUGACCUCGAUGUUGGACCAGAAUAUCCUAAAGGUGCAGCAGCC
This 412-nucleotide ribosomal RNA is filed under the name Tritia corniculum. RNAcentral's name for it is "partial 16S ribosomal RNA". It matches the Rfam family "Bacterial large subunit ribosomal RNA", at positions 1942 to 2563 of the family's 2925-position model. Lineage: Eukaryota; Metazoa; Mollusca; Gastropoda; Neogastropoda; Nassariidae. The record is from RNAcentral.